Molecule: non-coding RNA, 31 nt
Filed under: Mus musculus (house mouse)
Lineage: Eukaryota; Metazoa; Chordata; Mammalia; Rodentia; Muridae
Source: RNAcentral
UAAGAUGCUCUUAUCUUCACUUGGGAUUUGU